Molecule: long non-coding RNA, 2259 nt
Organism: Heterocephalus glaber (naked mole-rat)
Lineage: Eukaryota; Metazoa; Chordata; Mammalia; Rodentia; Bathyergidae
Source: Ensembl
CCUCAGCCUUCCUCAUGCUGGGACCACAGGUGUGUGCCACCACACCUGGGUGAAGCAGGAGCUCCUUAGCUGGUCCUUGGUCUCUGGCUUCCUCCUAUCCUCCCUCUCUGAAAGUGUGCAUUUCUCUGAAUUCUUUAUGGGCCUCGGUGCUGGGCCUCAACUGUGUCGUGCAUGAGUCACCCUGCUGCUUUGUCCCUGCCCCACCACACAGGAUUACUCACCGCCCCUCUGGAAUGUGCCCUCUCCCCAGGACACCUUCUGUGCCCACAUCCUUUAUUAUUUUGUUUAAACUAAUAAUGCUUUCCCCCUUUCCAAUGGUUAAAAAUACUUGUGGAAAAUUUGCAAAAUGGAAACUGUAUGCAAAGAGAUACAAGAGCACCCGUCCUGGGCUGGGGGUUCAGCUCAGUGGUUCUGGUGGCUGCCUCGAAAGCACAAGGUCCCAAGUUCAAUCCCCGGUACCAAAAAAACAAAAAAACAAAAACGAAAGAAGGAGCACCCGUCCUUCCGCGGCCCGGCUUUCCGGAGACUUCCUUGAGGACAGGCGGCCCUGCCAGGCCUCCGAGGCGCCCUCUCCUGCUGCUCCCCAAGGCUCUGUGAGGAAACCAGCUCAGUCUUCAUGCUCAAGGUCCUCAGAGAUGCCUGCCCUCCGCCCCACGCUGGUCUCCUGUGAUGCCCACAACCCCAGUUCUCCCUGCAGCGCAUCCCACCGCCAGAAAUGCAUCUGGAAGUUCUUUUUCUACAGCAAGAGUCAGGGAACCUGCAAACUUGUCUGAAAAGGGUGGUUUCGGUUCUGUCAGCCUUGGGCCCUCAGGGACCCAGCCUGGUGACAGCUAUGGCACUAGCACCACCGAGGGUGCUGGGGGCAGAAAGCCCACCUCAAGACGCGGCGAGAUGCCUUCCUAUGGCGACCUCGGGCCUGGGCUCUCCGGGGCUUAAGGCCAUCAGUUUAAUGAACAUGGGCCCAUCCGUUCCAGUAAAGAGGAGGCCACUGCAGCAGUUAGAGGUGGUGAAAGGGCUUGGCCAAAGCCCACGGUAGUUCAUGGCGGCGCUGACGUUUGGACCCUCAUCCGCAGGCUCCCAAGCUUCUGUUCCGACCUCCGGGCCUCUGGAGUCUUCCUCUCCCCUCUGCCAAUGCUGCUACCCCUUCGACUUGGCCUUCUAAUGCUCUCCCAGUUUCCUCCCCUCUACGUCGCCACGCUCCAAGCCGCCCACCUCCAGGCUGGGUGCCCAGCCUUUCCACCUCACCGCCCCGCUUCUGGUCUUGCUCGGCUUCCAUCCCUUCUCCACUGCAGCCAGAGGGAGCCUCUGCUGAUGCGCGAGCUCAUCUUGCCCUGGCCUAACCCGCAGUGGGUUCCCUUCAGGCCUUCUGCAAUAAUCCAUGCUGGAGGUGGUGAUGCACGCCUGUGAUUCCAGCACUCUGGGAGGCUGAGACAGAAGGAUUGCAAAUGACACAUAACCAGAUAGCGCAGAAUGGAUGGCUUCACAGCAGAAAUAUACUUCUCUGGCUCCUGGAGGCUGGAAGCCUGGAAAAUGUAUCCCGUUAGCCUCAAUGUUCACAACGUGUAUCCUGUCGCGUUCUGCUAUGUGAAAAUCCUGAUCCUAAAUAAAGCCCCAACCUCAAGACAGGGCCCAAGUCUUUACGGAGCACCCAGCUCCACUGGGCCGGCCAGUCAAUAAAGCUUUCCUCCAUGUCUUUUGAGCGGGUUUGUCUUUCCCAGUCCAGAUUUCCUACAGCAAACGGACAUGGUUCUCCCUUGCCUGAAACGCACCAGAAUGUUAGUAGCCAGCAAUCACCCCCUGCCCCGUGACACCAGCUGCUGGUGGGCAUCGCAUCUGUCAGAGCAAUGGCUUCAGGUUCCACUCAGGUGAGCUGAUGCAGUACCUGUCUGUGUGUGUCUGGCUGACUGACCUCACAUCGUGACCUCAGUUUCGUGUCUCUCGUGACAGGAUUCCACCCUUUUUAAUGCCUGAAGAGUUUCCGUGGGGCAGAGCACCGUGUUUCCUUUCUCCAUGCUUCAGUCGGUGGACACUUGAUUUAUUUCUAUUUCUUGGUUACUCUUAGUAGUGCAAAAUAAACGCAGGAAUACAGAUUUCUCUUCCAUAUACUGAUUUUAUUUAUUUUGAAUAUACACCCAGUAGCAGGAUUGCUGGAUCAUAUAGUGGCUGUAAUUUUACUUUCUCUUUUCUUUCUCUCUUUCUCUCUCUCUCCUUCCCUCCCCCAUUCUGUCUGUCUCAUCCUCUCUUUUUCUCUUUUAUAAG